Molecule: ribosomal RNA, 258 nt
Filed under: uncultured prokaryote
Description: partial 16S ribosomal RNA
Rfam family: Bacterial small subunit ribosomal RNA
Source: RNAcentral
CACGUAGGGGCGAGCGUUGUCCGGAAUUACUGGGCGUAAAGGGCGCGCAGGCUGUUAUGCGAGUCUGCUGUGAAAUGUACCGGCUCAACCGGUGCCUUGCGGCGGAUACUGCAUAGCUGGAGUACUGGAGAGGGAAGUGGAAUUCCCAGUGUAGCGGCGAAAUGCGUAGAUAUUGGGAAGAACACCGGUGGCGAAGGCGACUUGCUGGGCAGCAACUGACGCUGAGGCGCGAAAGCCAGGGGAGCAAACGGGAUUAGA